UGGCCGGUGGCACCGCGUCGCGGUAGGGGUCUCCUUGCGGCAGCUGGCCCUGUACGUGGACUGCGCACUGGUGGAGAAUGUGAACUGGACCUACCCAAGCCUGGAAGUGUCCACUGACGGCCUGAUUAUGAUCGGAGGCAUCGUGGAGGGCUUUGAGACGCCUUUCAAGGGUGAUCUGAGGCAGGCCACAUUCUUGAUGGGUGACCCAGAUGCUGCAGCCAACCACUGCACCCUUCACCAGCCCGCGUGUGGGCCAGCUGCUCCAAAACCCCCCCGCUCCCCAAAGACCUCCCACACUGAGCUCAUGCUGUCCUCAAACGAUCUGGAAGACUUGCCGGAAAGUUCAGACAGUCUCCCCAGUGUUGAGUCUCUCCUGACGGAUCCUGUUUCGCCCCAAGGCGGGAAUCCCCGUGGUGAUGGCACGGCCCCAUUGGGUCCCAGGCGACCGGGAUCUGUAACACGGGGAGACGUCUUCCUGGUGGAGGAGGACACCGACCUUGCAGAAUCUCACCUCCCUUUCAGAUACAGCACUCCGCCACCCGCAAAGCACAUACCAGGCCCCAAACCAGACCCUGCCUCCAAAGACCAGGAUGAAAACAUCACCACAGACAAGAUCAGGGUGGCCAGUGGAGGGCGGAGCCGUGACACAUUUCCAGGGAAACCCUCAGAUGACAUUAUCGACCUCGACUCUGCCUCCCCAUCUGGCCCCCAGAAGAAACCCUCACCUGGUUUCAUCGGGGAAAAGGAGACACCAAAACUCCAUGAGCGCCCUGAUUCGACCCUGCUAAAAGAGGAGGAGCUUCUGCCCUCUACGGUGACUCCGCCCACCCCACGGCCGAGCCCAGACAUGGAGACCAAUAGGGCAGAGCGAGGGCCAGCCAUUCCUACGGUGGACACAGGGAGCAGGCAGACGCCAGCCUGUGACAAGGACCUGGUACGAGGUGCCGACGGCAGGAUGUACCGAGUUCUGAGGGGAUCCCCGGGGCCAGUGGGGCCUCCUGGAAGGACAGGCUGCCCUGGUGCAAGAGGAUACCCUGGGUUUAAAGGCAGCAAGGUGAGGUGGACUCAUACUCAUGUUCUUCCUAAAUCCAGCUGCCUCACUCUGCCUUUGUGGACAGUUCCGUAGGUCUCAUGAUGCUUUUGAAAAACUCUUUGUAGGGGGUGCGGGGACCAGCUGGGCGCGAAGGCUGGAGGGGCGAGCCAGGGCCCCCUGGACCCCCAGGCCUGCCCUACCUCUACCUGUGGAGGAAUUCGGUGGAAGACUGGGCCACCUUCAGGGUGAGUGCACACACAGCGUGGGUGUCACAUGUACAGCACAACGAGCAAGAGCC
This 1331-nucleotide long non-coding RNA is filed under the name Scleropages formosus (Asian bonytongue). RNAcentral describes it as "lncRNA (ENSSFOG00015024229.1)". The record is from RNAcentral. Lineage: Eukaryota; Metazoa; Chordata; Actinopteri; Osteoglossiformes; Osteoglossidae.